AGAGAGAGACAUGCGCGCAUAUCAAUAAGCGGAGGAAAAGAAACUAACAAGGAUUCCCCUAGUAACGGCGAGUGAAGCGGGAAGAGCUCAAAUUUGAAAUCUUAAAGGGUUUCCCUUUACGAAUUGUAGUUUAAAGAAGUGUUUUCUGUUAAGGUUUUGGUAAAAGUUCUUUGGAAUAGGACAUCAUAGAGGGUGAGAAUCCCGUAUUUGACCUUUACUUUCAACUUUGUGAUACACUUUCAAAGAGUCGGAUUGUUUGGGAAUGCAGUCCAAAAUGGGUGGUAAAUUUCAUCUAAAGCUAAAUAUUGGCGAGAGACCGAUAGCGAACAAGUACCGUGAGGGAAAGAUGAAAAGAACUUUGAAAAGAGAGUUAAACAGUACGUGAAAUUGUCAAAAGGGAAGCGUUUGACACCAGUGUUGUUUUUCUGAAAAUCAAUUAAAGAACUGUUUAUGCUAAGCUGUUUAGACUUUAUCAGCUAUCUGUUUAGUUUUGAGCUUUUCUUUAAUGCACUUUUCAGUUAACAAGUCAACAUCAAUUUCUUUUGCUGUAAAAAAGCUUGAGGAAGGUGGCUUGAGAUUCGUCUUAAGUGUUUAUAGCCUCUUGCCUAUGCAGUCGGAGAGAUUGAGGUCUGCAGCGUAGAUCCUUCGGGGCUAAAUGCAUUUGUGCUAAGUUAUAGCAUUUUAUAGACAACUUGUUGACUAUGAUUUGUCUUGUAGCUUACUCGCUUAUGUUAUUUUACCUACGCUUAGGAUGUUGAAGACUCUACAGAGAUA
This 774-nucleotide ribosomal RNA is filed under the name uncultured Neocallimastigales. Its description in RNAcentral is "partial large subunit ribosomal RNA". It matches the Rfam family "Eukaryotic large subunit ribosomal RNA", at positions 23 to 633 of the family's 3401-position model. The record is from RNAcentral. Lineage: Eukaryota; Fungi; Neocallimastigomycota; Neocallimastigomycetes; Neocallimastigales.